RNAcentral lists this ribosomal RNA (468 nucleotides) under uncultured bacterium. RNAcentral's name for it is "partial 16S ribosomal RNA". It matches the Rfam family "Bacterial small subunit ribosomal RNA", at positions 28 to 507 of the family's 1533-position model. The record is from RNAcentral.
GACGAACGCUGGCGGCGUGCUUAACACAUGCAAGUCGAACGGAAAGGCCCUGCUUUUGUGGGGUGCUCGAGUGGCGAACGGGUGAGUAACACGUGAGUAACCUGCCCUUGACUUUGGGAUAACUUCAGGAAACUGGGGCUAAUACCGGAUAGGAGCUCCUGCUGCAUGGUGGGGGUUGGAAAGUUUCGGCGGUUGGGGAUGGACUCGCGGCUUAUCAGCUUGUUGGUGGGGUAGUGGCUUACCAAGGCUUUGACGGGUAGCCGGCCUGAGCGGGUGACCGGCCACAUUGGGACUGAGAUACGGCCCGGACUCCUACGGGAGGCAGCAGUGGGGAAUAUUGCACAAUGGGCGGAGGCCUAAUGCAGCAACGCCGCGUGCGGGAUGACGGCCUUCGGGUUGUAAACCGCUUUCGCCUGUGACGAAGCGUGAGUGACGGUAAUGGGUAAAGAAGCACCGGCUAACUACGUG